UACGUAGGGGGCGAGCGUUGUCCGGAUUCAUUGGGCGUAAAGAGCUCGUAGGCGGUUCAGCAAGUCGGGUGUGAAACCUCCAGGCUCAACCUGGAGACGCCACCCGAUACUGCUGUGACUUGAGUCCGGUAGGGGACCACGGAAUACCUGGUGUAGCGGUGAAAUGCGCAGAUAUCAGGAGGAACACCGAUGGCGAAGGCAGGUCUCUGGGCAUUAACUGACGCUGAGGAGCGAAAGCAUGGGGAGCGAACAGG
This 254-nucleotide ribosomal RNA is filed under the name uncultured bacterium. RNAcentral's name for it is "partial 16S ribosomal RNA". It matches the Rfam family "Bacterial small subunit ribosomal RNA", at positions 524 to 776 of the family's 1533-position model. The record is from RNAcentral.